GAUGGGAGCUUGCUCCCUGAUGUUAGCGGCGGACGGGUGAGUAACACGUGGGUAACCUGCCUGUAAGACUGGGAUAACUCCGGGAAACCGGGGCUAAUACCGGAUGGUUGUUUGAACCGCAUGGUUCAGACAUAAAAGGUGGCUUCGGCUACCACUUACAGAUGGACCCGCGGCGCAUUAGCUAGUUGGUGAGGUAACGGCUCACCAAGGCGACGAUGCGUAGCCGACCUGAGAGGGUGAUCGGCCACACUGGGACUGAGACACGGCCCAGACUCCUACGGGAGGCAGCAGUAGGGAAUCUUCCGCAAUGGACGAAAGUCUGACGGAGCAACGCCGCGUGAGUGAUGAAGGUUUUCGGAUCGUAAAGCUCUGUUGUUAGGGAAGAACAAGUGCCGUUCAAAUAGGGCGGCACCUUGACGGUACCUAACCAGAAAGCCACGGCUAACUACGUGCCAGCAGCCGCGGUAAUACGUAGGUGGCAAGCGUUGUCCGGAAUUAUUGGGCGUAAAGGGCUCGCAGGCGGUUUCUUAAGUCUGAUGUGAAAGCCCCCGGCUCAACCGGGGAGGGUCAUUGGAAACUGGGGAACUUGAGUGCAGAAGAGGAGAGUGGAAUUCCACGUG
This 620-nucleotide ribosomal RNA is filed under the name Bacillus siamensis. RNAcentral describes it as "bacterial SSU rRNA". It matches the Rfam family "Bacterial small subunit ribosomal RNA", at positions 71 to 675 of the family's 1533-position model. Lineage: Bacteria; Bacillati; Bacillota; Bacilli; Caryophanales; Bacillaceae. The record is from RNAcentral. RNAcentral also lists the same sequence under 1 other name.